AUCCAGCUGAUGAGUCUCAAUUGGGACGAAACGCGCAUCCUACAU
RNAcentral lists this non-coding RNA (45 nucleotides) under Schistosoma margrebowiei. Lineage: Eukaryota; Metazoa; Platyhelminthes; Trematoda; Strigeidida; Schistosomatidae. The record is from RNAcentral.